CCGGCGCACGGGUGAGUAACGCGUAUGCAACCUACCUAUCAGAGGGGAAUAACCCGGCGAAAGUCGGACUAAUACCGCAUAAAACAGGGGUUCCACAUGGAAAUAUUUGUUAAAGAAUUAUCGCUGAUAGAUGGGCAUGCGUUCCAUUAGAUAGUUGGUGAGGUAACGGCUCACCAAGUCCACGAUGGAUAGGGGUUCUGAGAGGAAGGUCCCCCACACUGGUACUGAGACACGGACCAGACUCCUACGGAAGGCAGCAG
RNAcentral lists this ribosomal RNA (260 nucleotides) under uncultured bacterium. RNAcentral describes it as "partial 16S ribosomal RNA". It matches the Rfam family "Bacterial small subunit ribosomal RNA", at positions 95 to 354 of the family's 1533-position model. The record is from RNAcentral.